AUACGGAAGGUCCGGGCGUUAUCCGGAUUUAUUGGGUUUAAAGGGAGCGCAGGCGGAGAUGCAAGCGUGACGUCAAAUUUCGGGGCUCAACCCCGUCUCGCGUCGCGAACUGCGUCCCUUGGUUGCGGGAAGGGGAGGCGGAACUCGUGGUGUAGCGGUGAAAUGCAUAGAUAUCACGAAGAACUCCGAUCGCGGAGGCAGCCUUCCGGCCCGUCAACGACGCUCAUGCUCGAAGGUGCGGGUAUCAAACAGGAUUAGAUACCCUGGUAGUCCGCACAGUAAACGAUGGACACCCGCGGUUUGGCCUGUAUGGCUGAGCCGCCAAGCGAAAGCGUUAAGUGUCCCACCUGGGGAGUACGCCGGCAACGGUGAAACUCAAAUGAAUUGACGGGG
RNAcentral lists this ribosomal RNA (393 nucleotides) under uncultured bacterium. RNAcentral's name for it is "partial 16S ribosomal RNA". It matches the Rfam family "Bacterial small subunit ribosomal RNA", at positions 523 to 918 of the family's 1533-position model. The record is from RNAcentral.